Molecule: unclassified non-coding RNA, 750 nt
Filed under: Hevea brasiliensis (rubber tree)
Lineage: Eukaryota; Viridiplantae; Streptophyta; Magnoliopsida; Malpighiales; Euphorbiaceae
Source: RNAcentral
GAUUCAGUUUUUUGUUUUUUUUUUACUUUUUUUUAAAAUUUUUUACUUAUAGAAUUUUUGUUCUUGCCAUGAUUGAUGAAAUGUGUAGAAGCGUUGAUAAGUUGACAUUACCUUAUUGUGUUAAGGAAAAGUAGUUUUCUCGUGAACUUUUAUUCUGCAGAAAUUAAUGCAUUCAAGGAAGUUGCAAGGCUUGCCACGCAUACCAUUUUGGCUGCUUGUGGUUUUGGGCACUCAAGGCAUGCUGUCCACUCUGUCCCAAGUUGUGCGUGCGGACAUUCUGAACGCACUCAGCAACUCCGUAAGUCCACUCUAAUGCCAAAUUCAUGCCGAGAAUGCUUUUAUGUCUUUGUAAAGGAUGUUGUUAGCUCAAUUCUGUCCGAGAAAGUAUCCCAUGCUAAGUCAUGAGAAAUUCUCUCAUAAAAUAUUGGAACUGCCAAUCUACAGAGUGCUUUUCCUUUCCUAUACUUCUCAUUUCACUGAAGACACCUGAAUCUUCUUUUUGCCUUCUCUCUAUACCACGCUAGAGACAUUAGCACAAGUCAUCUUGGCAGCACAUAUGAGCAAGAUGCCUUCUCCACCUUUCUUUCUGUGUAGCCAACUAGUUUGGGAUUUAGACUUAGUUGUUGUUGUUGUUGUAUUCAAAGCCUUCUGUAAAAGUUAAUGCUUUGUAUAUAUUUCUGUUUAUACAUACUUGUAACUUAACAUUCUGCAGCAAUAAUUGAAGUUACUGCGUCAUUGCAAAAUAGAAAU